GCGCUUCAGCAGCAUGUCUACUGAAAUUGGAAAUAUACAGAGACGAUUAGCAUGGCCCCUGCACAAGGAUGACAUGCACAUUCGUGAAGUGUUCCAUAUUUCA
Hemiscyllium ocellatum (epaulette shark) is the source of this 103-nucleotide small nuclear RNA. Lineage: Eukaryota; Metazoa; Chordata; Chondrichthyes; Orectolobiformes; Hemiscylliidae. The record is from RefSeq and is a predicted model, not a curated record.